Molecule: ribosomal RNA, 440 nt
Filed under: uncultured bacterium
Lineage: Bacteria
Description: partial 16S ribosomal RNA
Rfam family: Bacterial small subunit ribosomal RNA
Source: RNAcentral
ACUACGGGAGGCUGCAGUGGGGGAUAUUGCACAAUGGGGGGAACCCUGAUGCAGCGACGCCGCGUGGGUGAAGAAGCGCCUCGGCGCGUAAAGCCCUGUCAGCAGGGAAGAAAAUGACGGUACCUGAAGAAGAAGCCCCGUCUAACUACGUGCCAGCAGCCGCGGUAAUACGUAGGGGGCAAGCGUUAUCCGGAUUUACUGGGUGUAAAGGGGGCGCAGACGGCGAUGCAAGCCAGGGGUGAAAGCCCGGGGCCCAACCCCGGGACUGCUCUUGGAACUGCGUGGCUGGAGUGCAGGAGGGGCAGGCGGAAUUCCUGGGGUAGCGGUGAAAUGCGUAGAUAUCAGGAGGAACACCGGUGGCGAAGGCGGCCUGCUGGACUGCAACUGACGUUGAGGCCCGAAAGCGUGGGGAGCAAACAGGAUUAGAUACCCCUGUAGUC